UCAAAGGCAAAGAAGAGAAAGAGUACCACGGCAAUUCUUUCUACAGAGAGCUCCGGUCGCUGAAAAGGAGUAAAGAAAAACCUUGGGAAUAUGGUCUCAGAGCUGCGCAUCGAAACCUUUUGGGUUGUAGGCUGCGCCGGAACCUGCAUCCGUUACAGUGCUAGGGUAUAAACGUUUAUUAACGUCGUACCUGAAGAGGUAAAUGUCAUGAGGCAUUUAUAAAAUUAGGUGGUAACACGUGAGUAGAACUCUCGUCCUUUGU
Molecule: non-coding RNA, 262 nt
Filed under: Paenibacillus sp.
Lineage: Bacteria; Bacillati; Bacillota; Bacilli; Caryophanales; Paenibacillaceae
Description: T-box sequence
Rfam family: T-box leader
About the family: Uncharged tRNA acts as the effector for transcription antitermination of genes in the T-box leader family.
Source: RNAcentral